AGUCGAGGGGCAGCGGGUUGAAAGCUUGCUUUCAAUGCCGGCGACCGGCGCACGGGUGCGUAACGCGUAUCAAACCUGCCUCAUACUCGGGGAUAGCCUUGCGAAAGUAAGAUUAAUACCCGAUGUUGUUGCUUUCUCGCAUGGGAGAGUAACCAAAGAUUUAUCGGCAUGAGAUGGUGAUGCGUCCGAUUAGGUAGUAGGCGGGGUAACGGCCCACCUAGCCUUCGAUCGGUAGGGGUUCUGAGAGGAAGGUCCCCCACACUGGAACUGAGACACGGUCCAGACUCCUACGGGAGGCAGCAGUGAGGAAUAUUGGUCAAUGGGCGAGAGCCUGAACCAGCCAAGUAGCGUGCAGGAUGACGGCCCUCCGGGUUGUAAACUGCUUUUAGUUGGGAAUAAAAAAAGGGACUUGUCCCUUCUUGUAUGUACCUUCAGAAAAAGGACCGGCUAAUUCCGUGCCAGCAGCCGCGGUAAUACGGAAGGUCCAGGCGUUAUCCGGAUUUAUUGGGUUUAAAGGGAGCGUAGGCGGAUUGUUAAGUCAGCGGUUAAAGGGUGUGGCUCAACCAUGCAUUGCCGUUGAAACUGGCGAUCUUGAGUGCAGACAGGGAUGCCGGAAUUCGUGGUGUAGCGGUGAAAUGCUUAGAUAUCACGAAGAACUCCGAUCGCGAAGGCAGGUGUCCGGGCUGCAACUGACGCUGAGGCUCGAAAGUGUGGGUAUCAAACAGGAUUAGAUACCCUGGUAGUCCACACAGUAAACGAUGUAUACUCGCGGUUUGCGAUAGACAGUAAGCCGCCAAGCGAAAGCA
This 806-nucleotide ribosomal RNA is filed under the name uncultured Bacteroidota bacterium. RNAcentral's name for it is "bacterial SSU rRNA". It matches the Rfam family "Bacterial small subunit ribosomal RNA", at positions 60 to 859 of the family's 1533-position model. The record is from RNAcentral. Lineage: Bacteria; Pseudomonadati; Bacteroidota.